RNAcentral lists this ribosomal RNA (765 nucleotides) under uncultured bacterium. Its description in RNAcentral is "bacterial SSU rRNA". It matches the Rfam family "Bacterial small subunit ribosomal RNA", at positions 638 to 1401 of the family's 1533-position model. The record is from RNAcentral.
GUCCUAGAGUGGGCGAGAAGUAUGCGGAAUGCGUGGUGUAGCGGUGAAAUGCAUAGAUAUCACGCAGAACUCCGAUUGCGAAGGCAGCAUACCGGCGCCCAACUGACGCUCAUGCACGAAAGCGUGGGUAUCGAACAGGAUUAGAUACCCUGGUAGUCCACGCAGUAAACGAUGAAUACUAACUGUCCGGUCCGAAUGAGGACUGGGUGGUACAGCGAAAGCGUUAAGUAUUCCACCUGGGGAGUACGCCGGCAACGGUGAAACUCAAAGGAAUUGACGGGGGCCCGCACAAGCGGAGGAACAUGUGGUUUAAUUCGAUGAUACGCGAGGAACCUUACCCGGGCUCAAACGACACAGGAAUACUUUUGAAAGGAGGUAGCUCUACGGAGCCUGUGUCGAGGUGCUGCAUGGUUGUCGUCAGCUCGUGCCGUGAGGUGUCGGCUUAAGUGCCAUAACGAGCGCAACCCCCAUCGCCAGUUACCAUCAAGUAAAGUUGGGGACUCUGGCGAGACUGCCGGCGCAAGCUGUGAGGAAGGCGGGGAUGACGUCAAAUCAGCACGGCCCUUACGUCCGGGGCGACACACGUGUUACAAUGGCAGGUACAGAGAGAAGCGACAUGGCGACAUGAAGCGGAACUGUCAAAACCUGUCUCAGUUCGGAUUGGAGUCUGCAACCCGACUCCAUGAAGCUGGAUUCGCUAGUAAUCGCGCAUCAGCCACGGCGCGGUGAAUACGUUCCCGGGCCUUGCACUCACCGCCCGUCAAG